RNAcentral lists this ribosomal RNA (1838 nucleotides) under soil metagenome. Its description in RNAcentral is "bacterial LSU rRNA". It matches the Rfam family "Bacterial large subunit ribosomal RNA", at positions 440 to 2259 of the family's 2925-position model. The record is from RNAcentral.
GAACCUGGGGGGACCACCCUCCAAGGCUAAGUACUACCUGGUGACCGAUAGUGAACUAGUACCGUGAGGGAAAGGUGAAAAGCACCCCUGAAGGGGAGUGAAAUAGUACCUGAAACCGCAAGCCUACAAGUGGUCGGAGCACCUUCGGGUGUGACGGCGUGCUUUUUGCAUCACGAGCCGGCGAGUUACUCGUCAGUGGCAAGGUUAAGCGAUGAGCGGAGCCGUAGCGAAAGCGAGUCUGAAUAGGGCGACACAGUCACUGGCGGUAGACCCGAAACUGAGCGAGCUAUCCAUGGGCAGGCUGAAGCGGGGGUAAGACCUCGUGGAGGGCCGAACCCACCUAGGUUGAAAACUGGGGGGAUGACCUGUGGAUCGGAGUGAAAGGCUAAUCAAGCUCAGAGAUAUCUGGUUCUCUCCGAAAUAUAUUUAGGUAUAGCCUCGGAUCAAUUGCGUUUUGGCCGUAGAGCACUGUUUGGCCUAGGGGCCCUACCAGGUUACCGAAGUCAGGCAAACUCCGAAGACCACUACGUGUACUCCGGGAGUCAGUUGCUGGGGGAUAAACUUCAGCGUCAAAAGGGAAACAGCCCAGACCGCCAGCUAAGGUCCCCAAAUACUAGCUAAGUGGCAAACGAUGUUCGAAUGCACAGACAACCAGGAGGUUGGCUUAGAAGCAGCCAUCCUUGAAAGAGUGCGUAACAGCUCACUGGUCAAGUGUUCGAGCGCGGAUAAUGUAACGGGGCUCAAGCUAGUUACCGAAGCUACGGGUGCAUACUUCUGGUAUGCGCGGUAGGAGAGCGUUCCCAUGGCAGUGAAGCGACGGGGGAACCCAGUCGUGGAGCCCUGGGAAGUGAGAAUGUCGGCAUGAGUAACGAAAGAGGGGUGAGAAUCCCCUCCACCGAUUGCCCAAGGAUUCCUGAGUAAAGUUCGUCUGCUCAGGGUUAGUCGGGACCUAAGGCGAGGCCGAAAGGCGUAGUCGAUGGACAACAGGUUGAUAUUCCUGUACCACGUCGCAGUCAUUUGACUGAUGGGGGGACGGGGAAGGCUAUGGAAACCCAGGCGAUGGUCGUCCUGGGGUAAGCGUGUAGGGGUGGCUCUAGACAAAUGCGGAGCCGCGUAACCUGAGGCGCGAUGCCAGCUGGCUAUAAGCCGGCGAGUUCCGGAAGCCAUGCCUCCAAGAAAAUCCUCUAGGGAGACUUCGCGUGCCCGUACCAAAACCGACACAGGUGCGCAAGUAGAGAAUACUAAGGUGAUCGAGAUAACCAUCGUUAAGGAACUCGGCAAAAUCGCUCCGUAACUUCGGGAUAAGGAGCGCCCCAGUAGGGUGAAGCGGCUUGCCCGUGGAGCCCGAGAGGGCCGCAGUGAAUAGGUUCAACCGACUGUUUACCAAAAACACAGGUCUCUGCUAAGUCGUAAGACGACGUAUAGGGGCUGACGCCUGCCCGGUGCUGGAAGGUCACGAGGAGAGGUUAGCCUUCGGGCGAAGCUUUGAAUCCAAGCCCCAGUAAACGGCGGCGGUAACUAUAACCGUCCUAAGGUAGCGAAAUUCCUUGUCGGGUAAGUUCCGACCUGCACGAAUGGCGUAACGACUUGGGCGCUGUCUCAACGAGGGAUCCGGUGAAAUUGUAGUCUCGGUGAAGAUGCCGAGUACCCGUGGCUGGACGGAAAGACCCCGUGAACCUUUACUGCAGCUUUGCGUUGAAGUCUGGUAUUCGUCGUCCAGGAUAGGUGGGAGACUGUGAAACGGGGGCGCUAGCUCUCGUGGAGUCACCCUUGGGAUACCACCCUUCGGGUUCUGGGCUUCUAACCUGGCGCCGUGAUCCGGGCCGGGAACAGCGUGA